This 249-nucleotide long non-coding RNA is filed under the name Phoenix dactylifera (date palm). RNAcentral's name for it is "long non-coding RNA (PDAC_LNC015184)". The record is from RNAcentral. Lineage: Eukaryota; Viridiplantae; Streptophyta; Magnoliopsida; Arecales; Arecaceae.
AUAGGAGGGGAGGGGGAGGGACCAGCCCACCCGCGUAGCAGCCCCAUUACUGGGCCCCCCUUCCACCAGGGAAUGUUCGAUACAGGUCGCAGGUUUCGCGUGCCUUCUCCGAUCCGUGGGCUCACCGCCUCACGUGUGGGUACGUCACCCCAGCGCCACCUUGGUACAAGUGGAAGGAAAGCAUAACCGCCAACAAGCCAGCCGGGCGUGGGGCAUCCGGUCCCCUAAUUUAAUCGACGCCCGCGCGUU